Molecule: long non-coding RNA, 321 nt
Organism: Hibiscus syriacus
Lineage: Eukaryota; Viridiplantae; Streptophyta; Magnoliopsida; Malvales; Malvaceae
Exons: 3
Source: RefSeq, a predicted model, not a curated record
AUCAUGAAUAGUACAUUCAUAUGUUCAAUUUUAACUAUUUUUGAAAUACGAACUUAUCUUUUGUUGCCCAAUUCUUCUUACUUAUGGAUAGAUGAAAUGAUUUCCUUUUUAAUAGGCGCCCCCGAGAAAUCACCCUCUGUUAUUAUUAUCUGGCCUGGGGACUAAUGCCAUUGGAUAUGAUCUUUCUCCCGAGUCUUCUUUAGCGAGAUAUAUGUCUGGCCAAGGAUUUGACACAUGGAUUCUUGAAUUUCGUGGUGCUGGGCUGAGUGAGCAGACAUCAAACUUCAAAGAAAUUAAGGAUGCUGAUUAUGCAUUUUCUAA